UAGGCAGAAGAGACUGUAGCCUGAUC
RNAcentral lists this non-coding RNA (26 nucleotides) under Homo sapiens (human). Lineage: Eukaryota; Metazoa; Chordata; Mammalia; Primates; Hominidae. The record is from RNAcentral.